GUACUUUUUAAGCGAGGAUUAUGUUUUCCUUUAGUUAAUACCUAAAGAGAGUGGAGGUUACUCUCAUAAUAAGCACCGGCUAACUCUGGGCCAGCACCCGCGCUAAUACAGAGGUUGCGAGCGUUAUUCGGAUUUACUGGGCGUAAAGCGUGCGUAGGCGGCUUUUUAAGUCGUAUGUGAAAUCCCUGAGCUUACCUUAUGAUUUGCAUUCGAUACUGUUUAGCUACAGUAUGGUUGAGGAUGGUAAAAUUUCUGGUGUAGCCCUGAAAUGCGUACAGAUUUGGUGGAAUACCGAUGGCUAAGGCAGUCAUCUGGCCUACUACUGCCGCUUAUGUGCU
Molecule: ribosomal RNA, 338 nt
Filed under: Acinetobacter sp.
Lineage: Bacteria; Pseudomonadati; Pseudomonadota; Gammaproteobacteria; Moraxellales; Moraxellaceae
Description: bacterial SSU rRNA
Rfam family: Bacterial small subunit ribosomal RNA
Source: RNAcentral